GGAGUUAGCCGGUGCUUCUUCUGUGAGUGAUGUCCUUCCUGCCGGCUAUUAACCCGCAGGCCUUCUUCCUCACUGAAAGUGCUUUACAACCCGAAGGCCUUCUUCACACACGCGGCAUGGCUGGAUCAGGGUUGCCCCCAUUGUCCAAUAUUCCCCACUGCUGCCUCCCGUAGGAGUCUGGGCCGUGUCUCAAUCCCAGUGUGGCUGAUCAUCCUCUCAGACCAGCUACGGAUCGUCGCCUUGGUGAGCCGUUACCUCACCAACCAGCUAAUCCGACAUAGGCUCAUCCGAUAGCGAGAGGCCCGAAGGUCCCCCGCUUUCCCCCGUAGGGCGUAUGCGGUAUUAGCCUGGGUUUCCCCAGGUUAUCCCCCACUACCGGGCAGAUUCCUAUGCAUUACUCACCCGUCCGCCGCUCGCCAACAGGGAGCAAGCUCCCCGUGCUGCCGCUCGACUUGCAUGUGUUAGGCCUGCCGCCAGCGUUCAAUCUGAGCCAUGAUCAAACUCUGA
This 507-nucleotide ribosomal RNA is filed under the name uncultured bacterium. RNAcentral's name for it is "partial 16S ribosomal RNA". The record is from RNAcentral.